CUACUGAGUAACUAAUGGGUGAAGGAAGAAAUCACAAGGGAAAUUAGGAAAUACUUUGAGAUAAAUGAAAAGAAAGACAACAUACCAAAACAUAUGGGAUGUAGCUAAAGCAGUGCCUAGAGAGAAAUUUGUAACUGUAAAUGCUUAAAUAAACAGGAAGAAAUAAUGUAGGAUAAACAGGUUUAAAGAUCUAAUAUACAGGCUCGAGCUGUAGGCAUGCAGGGCUGGAGAUGCUGCAGACCCACGACCCGGAGCAGCUCGGAGGUGGUGAAUAAUAGCUCUUCAAGUCUGCAAUAAAAAAUGGCCUCCAAUAAAACUACAUUUCAAAAAAUAGGAAAAAAACAGAAUAGGAAGAGUAAAAAAGUUGAAGAGGCAGAGCCUGAAGAAUUUGUGGUGGAAAAAGUACUAGAUCGACAUGUAGUGAAUGGGAAAGUGGAAUAUUUCCUGAAGUGGAAGGGAUUUACAGAUGCUGACAAUACUUGGGAACCUGAAGAAAAUUUAGAUUGUCCAGAGUUGAUUGAAGCAUUUCUUAACUCUCAGAAAGCUGGCAAAGAAAAAGACGGUACAAAAAGAAAAUCUUUAUCUGACAGUGAAUCUGAUGACAGCAAAUCAAAGAAGAAAAGAGAUGCUGCUGACAAACCAAGAGGAUUUGCCAGAGGACUUGAUCCUGAAAGAAUAAUCGGUGCCACAGACAGCAGUGGAGAAUUGAUGUUUCUUAUGAAAUGGAAAGAUUCAGAUGAGGCAGACUUGGUGCUGGCGAAAGAGGAAAAUAUGAAGUAUCCUCAAAUUGUAAUUGCUUUUUAUGAAGGGAGACUAACUUGGCAUUCUUGUCCAGAAGAUGAAGCUCAAUAAUUGUUCACAUUGUUUUUUAAUAUAUAUUUAUAUAUAUAUAUAUAUAUGAAAUUUGGGUCUUGGAUUUUGAUUUACUAGUGUGAUGAAAUAACUACAUCCUAAUGAAAAUCAAGUUUGAUAUGUUUGUUUUGAAAGUAGCAUUGGAAGAGUUGUUGGGGGGUUUUUUUGCAUCCGUAGCACUGGUUACUUUGAACAAAUAAUGCUUUCUGUAGUUGCUUCCUUUAUCAGAAAAGAACAUUUGAUACCAUGGUGUAUUAUUUCCUCUUCAUUAAAGAACAGCUUUUCUAAAUGUUGGGGGAAAUGUCCAUAGUCAUUACUCAAUCAAAACUUGUGUUCUCAUAAGCCUAAGGACCAUUUUAUGUUUUUUACAUGUUUUUUUGUGUGUGUGUGUGUAUCCAUAAAAUGCAUAUGUAAAUUUUUCUUUGUUUUUAAGCAUUCACCCAAACAAAAAAUCACAGGUAAACCCAUGUUUCUGAGAUGCCAUUAUUCCGAGCAAUAUAAGAAAUAAUCACUUCAAGUUAAAUUGAAAAUUUUCCUGAAGCCAUACAUUUCAAGGGAAAUAAGUAAUUCUAAAUAGGACAAUUUAAAUUGGAUAAUUUUAAAGUAUCUAUAAUUGCAGUGGUUUAUUUGCAAAUUUCCUAAAAGGAAAGAUUUUAUCACUGCCAUCGCAGCAGGUUUCCUCAUCCAGAUGAGGAAACUAGACAAAUGCUAGUGUGUUUUAACUAGCUAAACAAAACUAAGUUAAAUGAAAAUUUUAAAAUUUCCCUAGUGAGCCAUUCCUUAACAAAAUGUUGAAAUCCCUGUUGCUACAUUGACUAAAAGGUAAUGAUGAAAGGAAUAUGUAAGACUUGGCUCAUAUAAACCUAAUCAGAUGGUUAGAGAUGUUGGCAGUUGAGGACCUGCUGCCAUAAAUGUGUGAACAACCUUUUGUAAGCUGACCUAUUGACCUGCAUAUUUUUUCUUUACCCCAACUGAUUCCUUACAUGUAGGCUCAAUCUUCAGUUAUUUGCUUUACUGGUUCAACAAAAGCCAGGAAGAACAACUUUGUAGUAAUCAGAGUGUUAUCCAACUGUAUAUUGUUUACUUGAUUGUAAAUACUGGUGAACAGUGGUUAAUAAAUAGUUUUAUAUUCCUUUAUGCAAAAAAAAA
Rhinopithecus roxellana (golden snub-nosed monkey) is the source of this 2001-nucleotide RNA transcript. It is a transcript of the gene named chromobox protein homolog 3 pseudogene, with no coding region annotated. The record is from RefSeq and is a predicted model, not a curated record. The transcript has a single exon. NCBI's taxonomy places the organism in Eukaryota, Metazoa, Chordata, Mammalia, Primates, Cercopithecidae.